This 481-nucleotide ribosomal RNA is filed under the name uncultured bacterium. Its description in RNAcentral is "partial 16S ribosomal RNA". It matches the Rfam family "Bacterial small subunit ribosomal RNA", at positions 28 to 507 of the family's 1533-position model. The record is from RNAcentral.
GAUGAACGCUGGCGGCGUGCUUAACACAUGCAAGUCGAACGAAGCACUUUAUUUGAUUUCCUUCGGGACUGAUUAUUUUGUGACUGAGUGGCGGACGGGUGAGUAACGCGUGGGUAACCUGCCUUGUACAGGGGGAUAACAGUUGGAAACGGCUGCUAAUACCGCAUAAGCGCACGGCAUCGCAUGAUGCAGUGUGAAAAACUCCGGUGGUAUAAGAUGGACCCGCGUUGGAUUAGCUAGUUGGUGAGGUAACGGCCCACCAAGGCGACGAUCCAUAGCCGACCUGAGAGGGUGACCGGCCACAUUGGGACUGAGACACGGCCCAAACUCCUACGGGAGGCAGCAGUGGGGAAUAUUGGACAAUGGGCGAAAGCCUGAUGCAGCGACGCCGCGUGAGCGAAGAAGUAUUUCGGUAUGUAAAGCUCUAUCAGCAGGGAAGAUAAUGACGGUACCUGACUAAGAAGCACCGGCUAAAUACGUG